GUAAAUGCAUGCCAAAUCUCGCAAUGAUGUUGGCCUGCUCCCAAAGUUGCAAAAUAAUGAAGAAAACGUUGGGUUUAGAACUCUGUGCCCAUUUUUAACAACGUUCCUUAUGGGAUGUAACCUUUGGCUGCCCUGGGCAGAUUCUCCUGUGAGUCGGUGGAUUUGGUUUCUACAGAGCUCAGCCACCUGCACCAGUCAGUGA
This 202-nucleotide long non-coding RNA is filed under the name Numida meleagris (helmeted guineafowl). RNAcentral's name for it is "lncRNA (ENSNMEG00000002834.1)". Lineage: Eukaryota; Metazoa; Chordata; Aves; Galliformes; Numididae. The record is from RNAcentral.